This 1451-nucleotide long non-coding RNA is filed under the name Citrus x clementina. RNAcentral's name for it is "Citrus clementina (C. clementina) long non-coding RNA (CCLE_LNC000776)". The record is from RNAcentral. Lineage: Eukaryota; Viridiplantae; Streptophyta; Magnoliopsida; Sapindales; Rutaceae.
UUAUUUAGUUAGUUCGUGAAUUGGACAAAAUUAAAAAUUUUAAGUCCGCAAACCAAUCCGUAAAAUGGUGGAUUGAAUAUGGAUUGGGUCAAAUCCGCAUCCGAUCCGCAGAUGUAUUGAUUGUAUUUAGAUUGAAUUUCAUCAAUCCAUGGAUUGGAUUUUGAUUGAAUUUCAUCAAUCCGUGGAUUGGAUUGGAUUGAAAAUUUAUAAUCCGCAAAAUCAUGGAUUGGAUAUAGAUUGAGGUCCAAUCCGUAAAAUUCGAUCCGUGAACACCCCUAAUUUAUACAAAAAAAUUAAUGUAAAAUAAUUUUAUAAUAAAUAAAUAUAGUUGUUUAUAGUUACACAAUAAAUUUUUCUUUUUUAAUUUUAAAACAGUGACCCAAUCAAUUCUCCAAUUCGGUUUGGUUUUGUAUUAAACCGAAUAAGAACCAAUCAAUUCUUUAUUUUGUGUGCCAUUCAGUGUCUUGCCUUUGUAUCGAACCAAAUGCCCAUUACUAUCCAUCUGUAUUCAAUUUAAAUAUGUUAACAACAAUGCACAACAACUAUUAAAUCAUGACCCACAUUGACUAGUCAAAAGAAAAAACUUUGACUUAUAAUUAUGAUGUGUCACUUUAUCCAAUAUGCAAGUCUUUUAUGUUCAUCCCUCAACAAUAAUCAAGUAGAUAUUGUUUAAUUUGAACACGAUAUCUGUUACGCUUUUGUUCUUACAUUUUACAACUUAAAAAGCAUCUACUCAGGCACUGGCAUUAAUGAUAUUAAUGUUAAGGAAUGCUUAGUCAAAAUUGACAUAUUUUCGAAGUGGAGAAAUUUGUCUAAUUGAUUAAUUAUUUAUUAAUUUACUUUACUAUUAGAUAAUAAAAAGUGGAGGAUUAGAUUUUUUUAAAAAAAAAACUUCAUGCCCAAUGACUAACUUCCCUGCAAAAUACCUAAUUCUCUACUCACUCUACUUGGCAGAGAAAUACUUGAAGUGGUAGUGUUUCUUUCGUCGGAGUAGUCGAGAAUUAGGAUUCCUAUAAGCUUAACGAUGAUGUAAUUAGUCUUUCAAUUAAAAUUAAAAAAAUAAAAAUAAAGAUCAACAGCUAACGACACGUCAUGAAAAAUUAAUUUGUCGUGCUUGUCUUUGUCAAAUCGUAUACAUUAACUUAAUAAUUUAAUGGUUCUACCUUCUAGAUGCAACAAUGUAUUGAAAGAAAUAAUCAACGAAACUUGGAGAGAGUUUUGUAUUUUGUGCUUGGCCUGAAACCUUAUUGAAAGAAGCUUAAUGUGAAUAUGAAGCUUAAGGUUGAUGAAGUUAGAUUUGAUAAAUAUUUGACAAAUUACAUUAGAGAAUGCUGUCUUUGGACACUUUUGUCCAACCAAUAUUGAACUUUCAACUCUUAUUUCAUCAGUUGCUAUUAAAAAUACCAGCGUAGGGAAAAUGACCAAAACUCCACUAUUAUUCAUUGGAUUAA